AUAAACGCUGGCGGCGUGCAUGAGACAUGCAAGUCGAACGAAGGAUCGGGCUUGCUCGAUCCUUAGUGGCGGACGGCUGAGUAACGCGUAGGUGACCUACCCCGAAGUGGGGAAUAACUGCCCGAAAGGGUGGCUAAUACCGCAUGUGGUCGCACGUUCAUUCGUGCGAGUAAAGCCGCAAGGCGCUUCGGGAGGGGCCUGCGUCCGAUUAGCUCGUUGGUGGGGUAAUGGCUUACCAAGGCGACGAUCGGUAGGUGGUCUGAGAGGACGAUCACCCAGACUGGGACUGAGACACGGCCCAGACUCCUACGGGAGGAAGCAGUCGGGAAUUUUGCUCAAUGGGGGAAACCCUGAAGCAGCAACGCCGCGUGAGGGAUGAAGGCGUUCGGGUUGUAAACCUCUUUUGUCAGGGACGAUGAUGACGGUACCUGGCGAAUAAGCCACGGCUAACUACGUG
This 457-nucleotide ribosomal RNA is filed under the name uncultured bacterium. RNAcentral's name for it is "partial 16S ribosomal RNA". It matches the Rfam family "Bacterial small subunit ribosomal RNA", at positions 29 to 507 of the family's 1533-position model. The record is from RNAcentral.